Molecule: ribosomal RNA, 465 nt
Filed under: uncultured bacterium
Lineage: Bacteria
Description: partial 16S ribosomal RNA
Rfam family: Bacterial small subunit ribosomal RNA
Source: RNAcentral
GACGAACGCUGGCGGCGUGCUUAACACAUGCAAGUCGAACGGAAAGGCCCCUUUGGGGGUACUCGAGUGGCGAACGGGUGAGUAACACGUGAGUAACCUGCCCUUGACUUCGGGAUAACUUCAGGAAACUGGGGCUAAUACCGGAUAGGAAUCCUUGCUGCAUGGUGGGGGUUGGAAAGCUUCGGCGGUUUUGGAUGGACUCGCGGCGUAUCAGCUUGUUGGUGGGGUAGUGGCUUACCAAGGCUUUGACGGGUAGCCGGCCUGUGAGGGCGACCGGCCACAUUGGGACUGAGAUACGGCCCAGACUCCUACGGGAGGCAGCAGUGGGGAAUAUUGCACAAUGGGCGGAAGCCUGAUGCAGCAACGCCGCGUGCGGGAUGACGGCCUUCGGGUUGUAAACCGCUUUCAGCAGGGGCGAAGCUUGUGGUGACGGUACCUGCAGAAGAAGCACCGGCUAACUACGUG